UUUCCGUAGGUGAACCUGCGGAAGGACCAUUCAUAAUAAAGUGUUUUAUGGCACUUUUUAAAAAUCCAUAUCCACCUUGUGUGCAAUGUUAGAUCUUGUCAAUCUUGGCGAGAUUUUUAUACAUCAACUCAUUCUUUAACUAAUUUGUCUGAAAAAUAUUAUGAAUACUUAAUUCAAAAUACAACUUUCAACAACGGAUCUCUUGGCUCUC
RNAcentral lists this unclassified non-coding RNA (211 nucleotides) under plant metagenome. Its description in RNAcentral is "partial contains small subunit ribosomal RNA, internal transcribed spacer 1, and 5.8S ribosomal RNA". The record is from RNAcentral.